GACGAACGCUGGCGGCGUGCUUAACACAUGCAAGUCGAACGGUGAAGCGCCUUCCUUUUUGGUGGGUGUGGAUGAGUGGCGAACGGGUGAGUAACACGUGAGUAACCUGCCCCCUUCUUCUGGAUAACCGCAUGAAAGUGUGGCUAAUACGGGAUAUUCUGGGUCUGUCGCAUGAUGGGUCUGGGAAAGAUAUUGUUUCGGUGGGGGAUGGGCUCGCGGCCUAUCAGCUUGUUGGUGGGGUGAUGGCCUACCAAGGCGGUGACGGGUAGCCGGCCUGAGAGGGUGGACGGUCACACUGGGACUGAGACACGGCCCAGACUCCUACGGGAGGCAGCAGUGAGGAAUAUUGCACAAUGUUCGCAAGCCUGAUGCAGCGACGCCGCGUGAGGGAUGGAGGCCUUCGGGUUGUGAACCUCUUUCGCCAGUGAAGCAGGCCUGCCUCGUUUGUGGGUGGGUUGACGGUAGCUGGAUAAGAAGCGCCGGCUAACUACGUG
This 494-nucleotide ribosomal RNA is filed under the name uncultured bacterium. RNAcentral describes it as "partial 16S ribosomal RNA". It matches the Rfam family "Bacterial small subunit ribosomal RNA", at positions 28 to 507 of the family's 1533-position model. The record is from RNAcentral.